Molecule: transfer RNA, 73 nt
Filed under: bacterium
Lineage: Bacteria
Description: tRNA-Leu
Rfam family: tRNA
About the family: Transfer RNA (tRNA) molecules are approximately 80 nucleotides in length. Their secondary structure includes four short double-helical elements and three loops (D, anti-codon, and T loops). Further hydrogen bonds mediate the characteristic L-shaped molecular structure. tRNAs have two regions of fundamental functional importance: the anti-codon, which is responsible for specific mRNA codon recognition, and the 3' end, to which the tRNAs corresponding amino acid is attached (by aminoacyl-tRNA synthetases). tRNAs cope with the degeneracy of the genetic code in two manners: having more than one tRNA (with a specific anti-codon) for a particular amino acid; and 'wobble' base-pairing, i.e. permitting non-standard base-pairing at the 3rd anti-codon position.
Source: RNAcentral
GUGCGCGUGGCCCAACGGCAGAGGCAGUCGGCUUAAACCCGAUACGGUGCGGGUUCGAAUCCCGCCGCGCACA